This 160-nucleotide ribosomal RNA is filed under the name uncultured bacterium. RNAcentral describes it as "partial 16S rRNA". It matches the Rfam family "Bacterial small subunit ribosomal RNA", at positions 357 to 511 of the family's 1533-position model. The record is from RNAcentral.
GGGAAUAUUGCACAAUGGGCGCAAGCCUGAUGCAGCCAUGCCGCGUGUGUGAAGAAGGCCUUGGUUGUAAAGCACUUUCAGCGGGGAGGAAGGCGUUAAGGUUAAUAACCUUGGCGAUUGACGUUACCCGCAGAAGAAGCACCGGCUAACUCCGUGCCAG